Molecule: ribosomal RNA, 253 nt
Filed under: uncultured bacterium
Lineage: Bacteria
Description: partial 16S ribosomal RNA
Rfam family: Bacterial small subunit ribosomal RNA
Source: RNAcentral
UACGGGGGGGGCAAGCGUUGUUCGGAAUUACUGGGCGUAAAGGGCUCGUAGGCGGCCAACUAAGUCAGACGUGAAAUCCCUCGGCUUAACCGGGGAACUGCGUCUGAUACUGGAUGGCUUGAGUUUGGGAGAGGGAUGCGGAAUUCCAGGUGUAGCGGUGAAAUGCGCAGAUAUCAGGAGGAACACCGGUGGCGAAGGCGGGUCUCUGGGCCGAAAUUGACGCUGAGGAGCGAAAGCCAGGGGAGCGAACGGG